Molecule: transfer RNA, 67 nt
Filed under: Mesembrius sp.
Lineage: Eukaryota; Metazoa; Arthropoda; Insecta; Diptera; Syrphidae
Description: tRNA-Pro
Rfam family: tRNA
About the family: Transfer RNA (tRNA) molecules are approximately 80 nucleotides in length. Their secondary structure includes four short double-helical elements and three loops (D, anti-codon, and T loops).
Source: RNAcentral
CAAGAAGUAGUUUAAGUUAAAAUAUUAAUUUUGGAGAUUAAUGAUAAAGGUAUUUCUUUUUUCUUGA